AUCUUGACCAUAAGACUAAAAGCAAGAGUGAAUAGUAGCUAAUGAUCUUUAUUUAGAACCCGGCUACCGUUAAGGGGGAUUACGAAAAUGGACGGACAACCAGUGAAUGAAUAUGUAAGUGCUUGUAUCUCUUCUGCAAUCUAGAAGCUAUCUAAUGUAAUUAGCAAGUAGGCUUUGAAAAAUAUAUCUUAGAAUUUGGAGUUGUUUGUGCUUUACCUAAGGAAAGUCCAUUCAGUUUUGGUUCAUUGUGCUGUGAGCUCUUAUACAAACCACAUCAAAAUUAAAAAAAAAAAAGUUACAUAAAAAAAAAAAAAUUUGGAAGAAUUUCACGACUGUGCGUUAAGGUUCAACUUUCCCAAGUGGAUAUAUCAAAAUGCAUGAGCUCAGAUGGUUAAACGUUACACGCAAUAAAGGUUAAUAAAUGAAGUAUCAUGUAGUGACGCCGAAUACUUAUUAUGAAAAUUGAGGACUACUACACAGCCACAUCAUUGAUAAAUAAUAAUACCGAACAGAAUGACCGUAUGGGGGAAUUUUGUCAAUGGCAGCUGCUGUUGGAGCUUUUGUUUUCGCAUUAACUACACGCUGUAAUUUGCAGCAAAACACUGCAAUUAACAGGCAAUUGCAGCACGGCAGCCCUCUUUUGUCUUCAGCCCCCAUGGCAUACUAAACUAGUUUAUUCCGUCCGUCUCCAUCUAUGUCUCCCAUCCCAUCCGAUUUGCUCAGAGGCUCUCGAGUUCGUCUCCGGAUUUGGUGCGACAGCGACACGCCCUCCACGCCUUCCAGCACCACUGAUUGCCACACAGGAAGAAAAUUUAUGAUAUAUACCAAGUUUCUUAUAACUAAAUGAAACUAUUGCCCGAACGUUUAAACAGAAUAGUAUAAUAUUUAAUAUACCUAAUAUCAGCAUGA
Molecule: long non-coding RNA, 909 nt
Organism: Drosophila gunungcola (fruit fly)
Lineage: Eukaryota; Metazoa; Arthropoda; Insecta; Diptera; Drosophilidae
Exons: 2
Source: RefSeq, a predicted model, not a curated record